This 253-nucleotide ribosomal RNA is filed under the name uncultured bacterium. Its description in RNAcentral is "partial 16S ribosomal RNA". It matches the Rfam family "Bacterial small subunit ribosomal RNA", at positions 524 to 776 of the family's 1533-position model. The record is from RNAcentral.
UACGGAGGGUGCGAGCGUUGUCCGGAAUCACUGGGCGUAAAGGGCGCGUAGGCGGCCUGCUAAGUCGAACGUGAAAUCCCUGGGCUCAACCCAGGAACUGCGUCCGAUACUGGUUGGCUUGAAUCCGGGAGAGGGAUGUGGAAUUCCAGGUGUAGCGGUGAAAUGCGUAGAUAUCUGGAGGAACACCGGUGGCGAAGGCGACAUCCUGGACCGGUAUUGACGCUGAGGAGCGAAAGCGUGGGGAGCGAACAGG